GACGAACGCUGGCGGCGUGCUUAACACAUGCAAGUCGAACGGUGAAGCGCCUUCCUUUUUGGUGGGUGUGGAUGAGUGGCGAACGGGUGAGUAACACGUGAGUAACCUGCCCCCUUCUUCUGGAUAACCGCAUGAAAGUGUGGCUAAUACGGGAUAUUCUGGGUCUGUCGCAUGAUGGGUCUGGGAAAGAUAUUGUUUCGGUGGGGGAUGGGCUCGCGGCCUAUCAGCUUGUUGGUGGGGUGAUGGCCUACCAAGGCGGUGACGGGUAGCCGGCCUGAGAGGGUGGCCGGUCACACUGGGACUGAGACACGGCCCAGACUCCUACGGGAGGCAGCAGUGGGGAAUAUUGCACAAUGGGAGCAAGCCUGAUGCAGCGACGCCGCGUGAGGGAUGGAGGCCUUCGGGUUGUGAACCUCUUUCGCCAGUGAAGCAGGCCUGCCUCGUUUGUGGGUGGGUUGACGGUAGCUGGAUAAGAAGCGCCGGCUAACUACGUG
Molecule: ribosomal RNA, 494 nt
Filed under: uncultured bacterium
Lineage: Bacteria
Description: partial 16S ribosomal RNA
Rfam family: Bacterial small subunit ribosomal RNA
Source: RNAcentral